This 497-nucleotide ribosomal RNA is filed under the name uncultured bacterium. RNAcentral's name for it is "partial 16S ribosomal RNA". It matches the Rfam family "Bacterial small subunit ribosomal RNA", at positions 28 to 507 of the family's 1533-position model. The record is from RNAcentral.
GAUGAACGCUGGCGGCGUGCCUAAUACAUGCAAGUCGAGCGAACAGACGAGGAGCUUGCUCCUCUGACGUUAGCGGCGGACGGGUGAGUAACACGUGGAUAACCUACCUAUAAGACUGGGAUAACUUCGGGAAACCGGAGCUAAUACCGGAUAAUAUAUUGAACCGCAUGGUUCAAUAGUGGAAGACGGUUUUGCUGUCACUUAUAGAUGGAUCCGCGCCGCAUUAGCUAGUUGGUAAGGUAACGGCUUACCAAGGCGACGAUGCGUAGCCGACCUGAGAGGGUGAUCGGCCGCACUGGAACUGAGACACGGUCCAGACUCCUACGGGAGGCAGCAGUAGGGAAUCUUCCGCAAUGGGCGAAAGCCUGACGGAGCAACGCCGCGUGAGUGAUGAAGGUCUUCGGAUCGUAAAACUCUGUUAUUAGGGAAGAACAAAUGUGUAAGUAACUAUGCACGUCUUGACGGUACCUAAUCAGAAAGCCACGGCUAACUACGUG